GACGAACGCUGGCGGCGUGCUUAACACAUGCAAGUCGAACGGAAAGGCCCUGCUUUUGUGGGGUGCUCGAGUGGCGAACGGGUGAGUAACACGUGAGUAACCUGCCCUUGACUUUGGGAUAACUUCAGGAAACUGGGGCUAAUACCGGAUAGGAGCUCCUGCUGCAUGGUGGGGGUUGGAAAGUUUCGGCGGUUGGGGAUGGACUCGCGGCUUAUCAGCUUGUUGGUGGGGUAGUGGCUUACCAAGGCUUUGACGGGUAGCCGGCCUGAGAGGGUGACCGGCCACAUUGGGACUGAGAUACGGCCCAGACUCCUACGGGAGGCAGCAGUGGGGAAUAUUGCACAAUGGGCGGAAGCCUGAUGCAGCAACGCCGCGUGCGGGAUGACGGCCUUCGGGUUGUAAACCGCUUUCGCCUGUGACGAAGCGUGAGUGACGGUAAUGGGUAAAGAAGCACCGGCUAACUACGUGCCAGCAGCCGCGGUGAUACGUAGGGUGCGAGCGUUGUCCGGAUUUAUUGGGCGUAAAGGGCUCGUAGGUGGUUGAUCGCGUCGGAAGUGUAAUCUUGGGGCUUAACCCUGAGCGUGCUUUCGAUACGGGUUGACUUGAGGAAGGUAGGGGAGAAUGGAAUUCCUGGUGGAGCGGUGGAAUGCGCAGAUAUCAGGAGGAACACCAGUGGCGAAGGCGGUUCUCUGGGCCUUUCCUGACGCUGAGGAGCGAAAGCGUGGGGAGCGAACAGGCUUAGAUACCCUGGUAGUCCACGCUGUAAACGGUGGGUACUAGGUGUGGGGUCCAUUCCACGGGUUCCGUGCCGUAGCUAACGCUUUAAGUACCCCGCCUGGGGAGUACGGCCGCAAGGCUAAAACUCAAAGGAAUUGACGGGGCCCCGCACAAGCGGCGGAGCAUGCGGAUUAAUUCGAUGCAACGCGUAGAACCUUACCUGGGGUUGACAUGGAUCGGGAGUGCUCAGAGAUGGGUGUGCCUCUUUUGGGGUCGGUUCACAGGUGGUGCAUGGCUGUCGUCAGCUCGUGUCGUGAGAUGUUGGGUUAAGUCCCGCAACGAGCGCAACCCUUGUUCACUGUUGCCAGCACGUUAUGGUGGGGACUCAGUGGAGACCGCCGGGGUCAACUCGGAGGAAGGUGGGGAUGACGUCAAGUCAUCAUGCCCCUUAUGUCCAGGGCUUCACGCAUGCUACAAUGGCUGGUACAGAGAGUGGCGAGCCUGUGAGGGUGAGCGAAUCUCGGAAAGCCGGUCUCAGUUCGGAUUGGGGUCUGCAACUCGACCUCAUGAAGUCGGAGUCGCUAGUAAUCGCAGAUCAGCAACGCUGCGGUGAAUACGUUCCCGGG
Molecule: ribosomal RNA, 1343 nt
Filed under: uncultured bacterium
Lineage: Bacteria
Description: 16S ribosomal RNA
Rfam family: Bacterial small subunit ribosomal RNA
Source: RNAcentral